UCGACCAACUUCGCCCUCUUCCCUCUCCUGCACGUGUUGGCGUGCGCUUUUAGGUGAAGCAGAAGCUUUGGCCUUGUUUGUUUUUGUUCUUCGGAGGGGGAUUGCGGUUGCUUCCUCCUGCCCGCCUUCUUUUUUGUGUGUGUGACGCGUGCUUUACUCUGCUACUGCUACCUAACUACCUACCUACUACCAUUCUGGUGCACUGAAGGCGCUCAGCUUUUGUGGGUGUGUUUGCACUGCGCACCUCGCCUUCCCUCCCUCCCUCUCCCCCUCUAGCGCAUUCAUUGUAUUGCUCGCAGACCGAGUGGGAGUGAGGACGAAGGAUGAACGUUGUCGACGACACUGUGGCGGCACUGGGCGACGACGACGCCAUCGCCGAGCAGCAGAACAUGUCUUUCCUCAUGAAACUGCAGGAACUGUACUGCAAGACGGUUCUUUACGAGCAGCUGGAGCAGAUGAUGGGCCACCCCGCCACCCAAGAAGAGAGCGACGGCUACCUUGACGACGUGGAAGGGCUCGUCAAGCUCUACUGCUCCGAGAGGGAGGCGGCGAAGAAAAUGGUGCCGCAAGGUGAGGAGGCCGACGCCGCUGCUCAACGUGAGGAGGUGACGGAGCAGCACAUCCUGCACUCUCUCUCCGUUGCUAUCAACGGCGAGGCCGAGGCAGACGAGCAACCCGACAUACCUGUGUCAAGCAUUCAGCAGCUGUACCACGUCCUCCACGAUUGCCUCACCACGGACACGGUAGAGACAGGGCUCGCUGUCGGGUCAUUGCUGCUGGCCGAUGAUGCCAAACGUAGCGCUGAGGAGGCGGCUCGUCUUGCCUAUCAGCAGCAGCAGCGUCACAUGCACGGCGGCGUUGACACGGCCAGCAUGAACACCUCCACUGCGGAGCGCAAGAAUGCCAUGAAGGUCUCGCCAGAGGAGAUGUUCCGCCUCGCCCAGCACGUCCGCAGCGGUCUUGCCGAUGAAGCGGAGCUGCUCAAAUUGCGCUCCGAGGACAACGAGGAAGAAGGCGGCGGCGCGCAGGACGUGGAGCUGAACGACGAAGAACCUCGCUUCUUGCGCAACAUGGGCUUCUCCUCGAUGCUGCACCGUCGCAUCAACUACCGUGCACCGCUGCCGUCGCAGCAGCUCCGUGACGCCCGCACGCCGCAGCAUCGUCAAGCCAUCUUGGACAGGCUCGCCCAGCGUCAGCAGGGCGACUCGUCAAAGCUGAACAGUAUGGAGGCGGUGGCGCAGAUGCAGGAGAAGAUAAAUAUGGAGCGCCGCGUCAUUGCCCGCAAGGCGCAGCGUACCCAGCAGCAGUUCCGCGAGUACGACUUUGGGGCGACCAUGGGCGGUCGCGAUGAUAGGUCGGUGCUCGACGAGGACCGCUACGGACGGAGAGGCGGGGCGCUUGAAAGCGAGGAGUACUCGGCACAGCCCACCCUUCUGCACUCGGAGCUGAACGCGCUGCCGGAGGAGGGCGGCUUCCGACCACAGGAUAUGCCGACGAAGCUGGCGCCGUGGAUGAAACACAGCUUUGGACGCAAGCCGCGCUUUGGCCUGCCCGAGACUAUGCAGACAAUACAGGAGCAGCGCAUCUCCCUCCCGAUUUACGCGAAGAAGGAGGCUCUUCUGAACUUCGUAGAUGCGCACAGGGUGACCGUACUUGUCGGAGAGACAGGCAGCGGCAAGACCACGCAGAUUCCGCAGUACCUGGCGGAGCACGGGUACGCCGAUCGAGGCAUGAUCGCCUGCACGCAGCCCCGCCGUGUCGCCGCCGAGACGCUUGCCAUGCGCGUCGCUGAGGAGUACGGCUGCCGCCUUGGCGAGGAGGUCGGUUACACCGUUCGCUUCCGCGAUGUCACCUCGUCUCUGACAAAGAUAAAGUACAUGACGGACGGUAUGCUGCUGCGCGAAGCGCUGCUGGACGACAGCUUCCAACGCUACAGCGUCAUCAUCCUCGACGAGGCUCACGAGCGAUCCAUCAGCACCGAUCUGCUCUUCGCCAUCGUGCGGCAGGCGCUGCGGAAGAACGAGGUGCUGAAGGUGAUGGUGACAUCCGCCACCCUCGAGACGGAGAAGUUCUGCGCCUACUUUGGCGCCUCUGAGCCUUUUCGGAUUGAGGGUCGCACGUUCCCCGUGGAGACGUACUACCUCACUGACCCCACCACCGACUACGUGCGAGCCGCCCUGCAGACGGUCAUGAUGAUUCACCUGCAGGAGCCUCCAGGGGACGUCCUUGUCUUUUUCACUGGACAGGAAGAGAUCGAGCUGGGCGGGGAGCAGCUGUUUCGCUGGAUGGAGAUGCUGCGGCGGCAGGUGAGCACGCCGUUGCCUGACUUGAUGGUGCUGCCUCUCACGGCCACCAUGCCGCAGGAGGUGCAGUCGAAGGUGUUCGAGCCCACCCCACCCGGGUGCCGCAAGGUCGUACUGGCCACGAACGUCGCAGAGACAUCGAUCACUAUUGCCAACCUCUACUACGUUGUUGACAGCGGCUUCUGCAAGCAGAACAUCUUCGACGCCAAGCACGGCAUCGAUCAGCUUAAGGUGAUGCCGGUUUCUCAAGCGCAGGCGAAGCAGCGCUCCGGUCGUGCGGGGCGUAUCGGGCCUGGAAAGUGCUACCGCAUGUACACGGAGAAGCAGUUCACGACGGACAUGGUGCCGGAGACGGUGCCAGACAUUAUGCGGACAAGCCUCUUCCACGUUACCCUGCAGCUGAAGGCCAUGGGGCUCGAUCUCCUUAACCUCGAGCUCAUGGACUGCCCUCCGAAGGGGGCCAUUGUGUCAGCGCUAGAGAAGCUGCGAUACCUUGAGGCGCUCGACGACGACGGACUGCUGACCCCGCUAGGGAGCCGCAUGGCGCAGCUGUCCAUCGACCCCUCGCAGAGCAAAACGCUGCUCACUGCGGUGGACUUGGGUUGCAGCGAGCCGGUUCUCACAAUUGUGUCGAUGCUAGCAGUGCAGAAGCGUGGCGUCUUCUACCGCCCUCGAGAUCAGCAAGAUGCGUCUGACGCGGCGCGACGCCAGUUCAUGCAACCGGAGGGUGAUCAGCUCACACUCAUGGCGGUCUAUGACGCCUGGGUGGAGAACGGCAUGUCCGAGGACUGGAGCAAGCACAACUUCCUGAAGCACCGCAUGCUGGUCGAGGCGCGCGACACACGCGACCAGCUCAAGGAGAUGCUGGCGCGGCGCAACCAGCACAUAUCACACGAGAAUGACACAAACCUCGACGAGGUACGCAAGUCCAUCACGGCCGGGUACUUCUUCAACGCGGCGAGGCGUGUCGACUCGCACACCCGCUCGUACGUCACACUGUCCGACAGGCGUGAGGUUUACGUGCACCCCUCCUCGGUGCUCAUCGACGACCCACCCAAGUACGUUCUGUACGACGAUCUCCGCAUGACGAAGCGGGAGUACAUGACGGAGCUGCUGGCGAUCGAGCCGAAGUGGUUGGUGGAGCUGGCGCCAGCCUUUUACGCAAGACCGAAGGAAGGGCGUCUCACUAAGGAGCAAGCCGCUGAGCGGUUCACACCGAUCCUAAAGUCGUGGGAAACAGGCAGCUCCUGGCGUAUCUCACGUCUCAAGAAGCAGCGGCGUUGAAGAGGGGGGGAGGCUGCGCACAACCGUGAGCCGACAGGACUCUUGCAGGGACGUCGACGUGGCGCACUGAAGUGGUGGAGCUUUGUGCCUGUGGCGUGCGUGCGUGCAUGGUGCGCCCCCCCCGCGUGCUUCCUCCUUGUCUAUUCGUCUUUGGUGCGCGCAUACUAUAACUCUCGCAGACUCACGUAUUCGUGGGUGUGCAUGAGAUCGUCAUGCGGGGUGGGGACUUGCCCAAUGUGGUGAUAGUGGUGGAGAGGUGGCUGAAGGCCAACUUCGCCGGUGAAGCAACGACGGCACCGCAGCAUAUAAUUUGCGAAAUACAAAAUACAAA
Molecule: unclassified non-coding RNA, 3918 nt
Filed under: Leishmania donovani
Lineage: Eukaryota; Euglenozoa; Kinetoplastea; Trypanosomatida; Trypanosomatidae
Description: gene:LdHU3.36.4120(CDS-product:pre-mRNA_splicing_ factor_ATP-dependent_RNA_helicase_putative)
Source: RNAcentral